GGUUGCGGCGGGGCGAGGAAAAAUCGAGGGGGCUGCUGCGCCGCCGCCGCCUUCGCCCGGCUUCCUCCGCUGGCCCCACCUACCGCCGCCUGGAGCAGGCCGAAGCGUGGAGACAUGCGCGCUGGGACCGGGGUCCCCGGCAGCCGUCCGGUCGCGCUGCGCGUGCGCAGAGAUGAGGCGCCGCCGCCGCCGCCGCCGCUGCCGCCGCCGCCGCCGCUGGGUGGAAGUUUCCGCACCGCCAGGCGAGGUCUGGGCUCUCGCCCCGGGCCUGGCCCGGGGGCCGCCCGCUCGCGGUACGUGUGGGCUGGGCCAGCACGGACCGCGGUCCGGCCGCUCUCCCAGGAAAAGGGCAAAGUGCGCCAGGCUCCCUGCUGUCCAUCCUCAGGGGCCCGUGUGCAGCCGGUCGCGCUGCGGUCACUCGUGCCCGCGCCCGCCCACGUGCUCGCGGGCGACCUCCCGGAGGAGCGGGUCACUCACCCGCUCCCGGGGCGGCGCUGCCCGCUAAGCUGCUGCCCCAGACGGAGCAGGACCGUCCUUGGCGGGUCUCCUUACAGGCAUAUUUGUUACCUUUUAAUAGUGAUUUCCUAUGUAGGGAAUGGGGUUAAAGCUUUACAGUUAGCUCACUGGCGCGACUUCCCGAGGCCGACUCAGCAGUGCUGCCCAUCAGAGCAGCGGCCCACGUGCUUGGGUGUCUGGGCUCGCGGCUGGCACAGUGUUGGCAGGAUUCCACAGAGAUCCUGUCCACUGGGCGAGUCCCCCGGUGUCCAGAGGAUGCCCCAAGCCCGGAUUGACAAUGGUGUUGUUAGGACUAUUCCGCUAACCACACAUUCUGUGAAGUCCAGAGCAAACGCCAGAGUGUCCUUAUAUAAGCCUGCUUGUGCCCCAUGAGCCUAGCCAGGGUGAUGGGCACCGUGGCCCCUCCAGAGCCCAGGCCCCAGAGGGAGCCCCUGCCUGCCCUGGUCCCUACCCAGCGGAUGCACUCCCUGGCCAGGCAACCUAAGCUCAGCGCUUGGGCCAGCGUUCAUUUUAAACAUUGAAACAAACCCUUUCAAUGUGCUCUCCUGCUUCACUACAUCAUGGGUGAGUACACGUUACUAAGCGCCUGACACUUCAAGACAUUGUAACAACGAUCCGUGUUUUGCCUCCUAAGGCUUUUUGGCAAACGGUAAUAGAACUGCAAAUGACUUGUGGUUCAGGCGUUUUGUAUUGUACAUAUGGAUAUUACGAGCAAGGAUUAGAACGUGUGCAUUAAAUAAACUGGAGAAAAUCACACACAAACCAGUCAAACAGUGGUUACUCUGGAUCUUCCAGUACCUAGGGCCAAAAUCCCUGGGGUCAUCCCAGCCUCCCCUCUCCAUAACCAACAGAAACAUCCAAAACCCAGCAGCUCCCCUCACUCGCAUCUUCUCACCUAUAGCCCUUUCAAACCACCACUAUUUCUAGCAUAUUUUAUUUUAUUUAUUUUUAUUAAAGAUUUUAUUUAUUCAUAAGAGACAGACAGACAGAGGCGGAGGGAGAAGCAGGCUCCCCGCUGAGCAGGGAGCCCGAUGCGGGACUCGAUCCCAGGACUCUGGGAUCAUGACCUGAGCCGAAGGCAGACGCUUAACCAUCUGAGCCACCCAGGUGCCCUCUAGCAUAUUUUAAAACUGCCUCCUAGCUAGUUUCCCACAUUCCAUUCUGGCCCUCUGGCAUUUUCUCCACAGAGGAGCUUGUGAGUGAUCCUUUAAAAAAAAAUAAAGAUUAUGUCACCCUCCUGCUCAAAACUCUCCAGUGGCUUCCUUUCUCAAACUCAGGCUUACUAUGACCUGCAAGUCCCUACACUGUCUGGUCCUUCUCCCUUUUUCUCCCACGUCAUCUUGCACCUCAUCCCCUAACCCAGCCUGCUCCAGCCAGAAGCAUAGUGGGCACAGAGGGGCCUCAGGGCCUUCGCACUUGCUGUUCUAGCUGCUUGGAUGCUCCUCCCCCACAUACCCACAUGGGUCACACCUUACCCACUCUCACACCUUAGUAAGGAUGUUGCUCUAUCUAAACUACAAACUUAACCCUCAACACUCCCCACUUCCAUUCCCUGCUUUAUUGUUCUCUUAGCAUUUAUCUCCAUUGGUUUCCUAGGACCACAAACCGGGUGGCUUGUAACAGCAGAAAUGUGUUCUCUUUCUUUCUCUAAAGGCUUAAUGCCUGAAAUCAAGGUGUUGGCAGGGCCAUGCUCUCUCUCCGAGGUCUCUAGGGGAGGAUCUGCUCCAUAGCUUUCUCUUAGCUUCUGCUGUUUUCCUUGGCCUUCUUUGGCCUGUAGGUGCCUCACUCCAUUCUCUACCUCUAUCAUUGCAUGGAGCUUUCCCCAUGUCUGUGUCUCCUCUUCUUGUCAUAAGGAUGCCAUUCAUACUGCAUUAGGGUUCACCCUAAUGGCCUCAUGUUACCUUGAUGACAUCUGCAGAGACCCUAUUUCCAAAUAAGGCUAACAUUCUAUUGAUAUCCCGGGUUAGGACUUGAAGUUCAUCUGGUGGGAGGGGGCGGGGAGCACAAUUCAAUCCACUGUGCCAUCUCAUGAAUUUUAUUUACCUUGUUUAUCAUGUGUGUCCUCUCACCCCAUUAGAAUCUAAGUUCUACAAGGAGGGGGCUCUUUAUCUGUACUUUUCCCUGCUGUGUGCGAGCUUGAAGACUGUGACUGGCACAUGGUAGGUCCUGGAUGGACAUUGGUGAAAUGACCAACAGUCGGUUGACCAACUCAAUGGGAAUGAAAGCCUUGCCUGGCUUCCAGGAUCUAUCCACAGAUUGCUAUUUACUUCUUUCCAACAUUUUAAGUUUGUUUUUCCCUACGGCCUCCUGCUUUAUCUUUGCAGCUUGUCUCUAGGUAAUCUCUCUAACUUGAUUCAUCAGCCAUAGUCAACUGCUUAUAAUUAGAUCCAGGGUUUCGUUAUGUACGUAUUUGAUCAUAAGUUUUUAUGUAAAUUAGAAGCAAUAUGUUUCUUUCUGCAAAGAAAAGAAUUAAUACUAAGUCAAAUGUAGUCCCUGUUGCAGUCCCUGUGCCUCUGGGCAGAGGAGGUCUUUCUCACUGCUUAUCAGUUCUCACAGAUAAGCCCAGCUUUUUCCUUCUGUGGCCAAAACCAACUCUUCUCUCUCUCUCUCUCUCUCUCUCAUGAUGUUAGAGGUGGGGUAAUAUUAGAGAUUAUACUAUGGUUUUAGUGAUUCAUUCUCAUGAACAAAUAGUUUCCAAAGCUUCGACUACCAUGGACUUCCUGGGCCAGAAUCAGAUAUGCUGGUUAAAAGGCAGAUAGCAAGGGCUAACCCGAUCUGAAGCUUACGCAGAGUGAGGUCCAGGAAUCUGUGUCUUAAGUAAAUUCCCUGGGCAAUUUCAAGCACGGUAAAGCUUGAAAAUCUUUGCCUAAUUCAGGGUUCCCAAACUCCCAAGUUCUCAACAGGAACUGAGUAGGUUAUGUAAGUAACUGAAAAAAAUCAGGGUGUGUGUGCAUUAGUCAGCUACUGCGGGCUAACAAACCACUCCCAAACACAGAGGCUCAAAGUGUUUAGUAUUGCUCACAAGUCUGCAGAUCAACUGUGUGGUUCUACUGAGCUGGUCAGACACAGCGGAUCUUGGUUUACAGAUCACUUCUAGGCUCCAGUCAGCUAGCAACAGGCUAGCCCCAGCUUGUUCUCAGGGCGGCUGAAAAGGUUUCAAGAAAGCAAACAGACAUGCCUGAAGUAAGAACUGGCACGCCUUCACUUCCUCACCAUUCUGUGAGUCCAAGGGCUCUUCAAGGAGUGCGGUCUUAGUGGAACACGUUCACGUGGAUUGCUCAGGCUGCAGUCCUCUAGCCCGGGCUACUCUACAAGGAGGAACAAGAGCCUACCGUUUGGCUGGAAAUUAGUGCCCUGGCCAGAAUGGCAAGUUGACCCGAGCUCCUGUUCACUGAAGAAGGCGGAAUGAAUGCAGGACGCAGACCUUGAGCCGGGCCAAGAGCAAGCCUUGCCGGGGGGCCCCAUCUUGGGGGCUUGAACACGGUCUCAUUUAAUCAGAGCAACACCUCUGCAAGGGAACAAUUGUUCCCACCUUGCAGGUCCUGUGCUGAGCGGUAGGAACCCACCCGGAGUGUUGGUGAAGGUAGCUGCAGAGCUGAGCCAGGGCGGCCAGCGUGGUAGCCCUGCUCUGAGCCAACUGGAAACCAACUCCAGUUGGCUCUUCCGUGUUGCGCAAGACCAUCCAUAAAGCACACAUGAGGGCUUUUCUCCCCCAGUCAACGAGACACGAAGAACUCCCUACAAGGAAAAACACCUGCUGUCCUGGCUCCUCAGCACCUGUCACCCAUCUCCUGUCUGCCAGCAGUUUUCCCCUGGGACGUUCUACACACCACAUGGAGCCCCUGGGAUUGUCAUAAGAUGGAAGCUUCCGAGAUUUGUGGUCCCUGACUUUAGUGACACCUUGUGCCCUCCCAGCCCUGUCUGUGGACACCGCUGGGGUAAUGGGUGUGCUGGAGCUGGCGUGGAGGGUAGAUGUCUGUCGCCCCACUCUUGCUACCUGUCUGUGCUGCCCUCCUGACCCCCCUACCAUCUCACACGCAGGGAAUUUUCACAUAUGUGGACAUACACAUACAGAGUCGAUCCUCCUUACUCAGGGACUCCAUAUUCCUGAUUCACCUGCUUGCUAAAAUUUAUAUCUCUCUCCGCCCCCCCUCCCCCAAUCAGCACUUGUAACACUGCCAUGGUCAAUCAAGGGCACGUGUAGAGUGAGGGAAAGAAUGUCACCCAAUGUGCUCAUUUCCAGCUGAGAGAGAACAAAGCCAGACUCUGCCUUCUUGUUUCAACACCCCCUACGCAAACAAGUGUCCUUUAUGCAAGUCUACAUAGUACCAUGUUUUCCUCACUUGGGGGCCUUUUGUCGAUUUCCCGAUUUCAAGUGGCUCAAACAGUGCCCACGUGCUGUCUAGUGAUCCUGAGGGCAAGAAGGCUAUGAUGUCCCCUACAGAGAAGGUGCGGGUUCAGGCAUACGCUGUAGUGCUAUUGACAGUGAAUCCAAUGUUAACUGAUCAAUUAUAUACAUUAAAUAAGGUGUCUUCAAUAAUUCAUUAACAAUAAAACAGAAUUAUAUAUCGAUUGGUUGAUGAAAAUGUUAUGACGAGAGACUCAGAGGAAACUAACCCUGCAUCUUCUUUAGGAGCCAUGGUUCAGGAUUCGCUAAUUUGGUGCGUGGUGCAGCUUUGUAGACAUAAUGUGAAUAGUGAGUUCGGGCUGCAUCUGACGUCACAGAAAUCCGACAUGUAUCGUGUCCUCGAUAUAGUCGGGCGUGGUGGCCCUGUUCCAGUGAUCAUGAAGGACAUUGCACAGCAUCCUCUGCUCACCUGAAUUCCCAACCUCAAUCUCUGGAGCCCAAAAUGAAGAGACUUACACAUUUCUCCUUUCAUCUCUGAUUUUUUGUUUGUCCCGAUUUGUUGGGAAGUGCAGGAACAUGGCAGGUCUCUAACACUUGUUUUGUUCAAUUUUGUUUUUAUAAUUUACAAGUGUCCCAAGGCUGACGUUAAGCCCAAGGACAUGCACUGUUUGGGCUGUGCAGUGUUUAUGAGACUUCUAAAUUGGUUACAUUUGGAAAUCCAAAGAUUUCACAUAAAAUGCUGAGAGGACCGUGCAUGUACCUCUCCCUCCCACCUCCUUGUUACCGAUCUCCCAGUCCAGCACCUUGUAAGUCGCUGAGCAACCGCAAAAAUCAGUAGCUACCCCCCAUCACUGAGUGUAGAUCUGUCCUCGUCAUUCUCAGUCCCGACAGAGUGGAAGAGCUAAUGAACUGCUUGGCCCUCUGGCUUUGGGGGAGUUCUCCCUCCAGUAUGGUCUUCCUGGAACUUUCCUGAUGGGGUUGAUAUGCUGCAGUAAACCACCCCCAGUUGGCUCUUCUGUGUUGUGCAAGACCAUCCAUAAAGCACACAAGGGUUUUCUCCCCCAGUCAACGAGACACGAAGAACUCCCCACAAGGAAAAAGAGGCAACAUAGCCAGCACACGUGUCAGCCUCUGAACCAUGUGCUUGUGCAACUCGCUUGUGCGUUCUGUACCUGCUGGGGGCCAGAGAUACAGAAGCAACCCCACCUGAUGAUGAAGCAGAUACACUCAUCCCAACUUGCUGGGUCAGGUAGCACCAUGUCCAUAAUGGAAAGUUUGGGUUCUAGGCAUUAGAAUACUGAAUCUUGAGCGUCUCUCAACUGGAAAUAGCCUCUUUUUUUUUUUUUUUGGCUGGAGAUAACCUCUUUUCCCUACUUGUUUCGCUGUUCUCCACCUCCAGGCAUACCCAUGCCUCAGCUCCAAGGAUGAAUCUUGGCUGAACAGAAAAAGAUGGAUGAAGCCACAGCUCAAUCUCUGAGACUGAGUAUCAAGUCACCCUUGACAUCCAUUUGAGUCAGGACCCAUCCACGUUCAUGUGCAUCUGGUAUCCGAGUCUGAGCCGUUGACAGAAUGUCUGUGUGGAUGGCUGGGGGUUCCAUUUGCCUCCUCUGCCUGCCUUACUUAUCUUACCAGCUGUCCCACCCCCACCACCUCUUGCCAGAGGCCCUUUUGACAGAACUCCUGAAUUCCUGCUUAGCUGUUCAAUCUGAUGCCAUGUCCUGCAAUGUAUUUUUUAAUUCUUUGUCAUAGGUUUAGAUGAUCAUAGAAAAGUUGCAAAAUUGUGAAGAGUUCCCAUAUGCCCUUCAUGCAAUUGUCAAACCAGGAAAUCAACACUAAACUAUAGAUCUUGUGAAAUUAUACCAGUUUUUCCUCAAACGUCCUUUUACAGUCCAGGAUCCCAUAUUGUGUUUAAUUUGUUGUGUCCUUCGUCUCCUCCAGCUUAUGACAGAUCCUCAGUCUUGUCUUUCAUGACCUCCAACCCAGGCCCCCUCCGGUGAACACGCUUCAGCCUCUGUCCUCACUAUAGCUGAAUACCCUGUUUCCUUCCCCUUAUCUACCAUGUGAACUCCUAAUCAGUACUCCAGAUAAUAUUAUUUAGGCACGUAAUGCUAAGCCUCAGUGCCUCAACAUAAUAGCAAUUUACUCUCACUUACUCGAGUCCUGUGUGGAUGUUCCCGGAUGGGUGGCUCUCCUGAGCUCUCCUCCACGUGGUAGGGACAUCUUAGGACACUGCUGUCCCCACCUCGUGGCCUCUAAGAUCAGCACAGAAAAGAAGAAAGAGGAGAAGUAUGUGUGGAAGCUUCCGUUGUUUCUUUAAAUAGCACAAGCCACACAGGCUCGCAUCAUUGCUGCCCAUGUUACAUUGGUCAGAGCGAAUCCAGAUGCAGGAGAGAGGGAAAUGCCGUUUCCUGUAUCCCAGGAGGGAAAUGAGGCAGGGUAUUCAAGUUAGACGAUUGUCUCCGCUGCUGGCCACCCUUUUGGUCAUCAAACAGCUUUCUUUUUCUUCCCACAUGCUACAGCUUGCUCACACUCUUCCCGAGAGAGAACGUGCACACCCGUUCAGUAACAGUAGCCAACUCCAGGCCCAGGAUCUCUGAAUGGAUCUGGCCUCUCCAUGAAGAACAGGGGCAGCGCUUUUGGUCUGGUCUCCUGUGACCUGAGGGAUACUUGAUUUGUCAUUGGUUUCCCUGAUAUCCAAUCAAUAGUGGUGGAUCAGGGCCGGGGAACUGCAUGGACCCCUCCCUCUUGGAAAAAGGAAGUAGGGAAGUCUCAUACCCAUCACUAGCCCAUAGAUGUACUUUAGUCCUGCAGGACGGGUGUGGUGAUUUUCUCUGCUCUGGAUGCUGAGACCCCACAGUGACAGACCUCACCUUCUGGGGGCUCCUCCUUGCUCCUUAUUUUGCAAGGCCACGUAAGAAUGGGCUUCGGGGAGUGCAUUCUCCUGUUGGCAACACAACUUUGGGAGCUCACUUCCUGUUUAGCAAAGACUGGGGCCUCAAAGUUUAUUAAGUCCCAAACAACUGAAGGAUUUUUUGGGUCCCGACUCAUGGUAUUCUUGGCAGUGCAGUCGUCUCAAAAACAUAGUGACUUCUGAUCUAUUUGUACCAGUAACCAUACCCCUUUCUUGGAUGUCAUUCUGGAACCUACUUCAUUUCCCUGCCUCCUCACUGCUGUGAAUCUGUCUCUCAACUUAACAGCAGCUGUCUGAGGCCACCGGGGUGAGUGGGAGGUCCGUGCGCUUACUCACACGUUGGCCCUGGGUCACUUUAUGGACUUAGAAAGUUCACCAGCACUUAACGAGUUCAAAUUAUUUUUUAUUCCCAUACUUACUGGUUGGGGACUAGAAGGUUACCUUUUGCAACCCUACAAGGCCCUGAAUUUCUGGACCCUAUUACCUUUCAUUUUCUGCUCAAAACAGCCAAUUACUUCCUGAGCUCAUCUCUUUCUUAUAUUGCCUUUCCAAACAGAUCCACUUCCAAUUAAAACACCUUUCUAAUAUUCCAUUUUCCAAGGACUCCUCCUAUGAGCCUGCAGUGAUGGGGUCUGCCUUCCAAGUCCCCGCAGACAGCCAUCUUGCCAUGUUUUGUCAAUACAUAGCAUCGAUGUUCGGCCACCAGCGAGCCAUGUGUCUUCCUCGCCUCCUGCCCAACUGCUAAGAAAAUGGCCACAUAGUUGUUAUAGUAGCAACUUCCUGCAAGAUACCACUUUCCAUAGCAUUCAAUAAAUCAUGCUAGUUGUUGCAAACAACCCCCAAUUCCAGUGGCUCCACAAAAUAAAUUCAUUUCCCACCUUCCCCAUACCCACUGAGGAUUUUCCAGGUAGGGCACCCACCUUCAGACAAUGACUCAGUGAUCCAGAGCCUUCCGUCUUGGGAUGCUGCUGUUUCCAGUAUGGGGCUCCAACUUCCCACAGGAGAAGAGAGGAAAGGAUCAGGUGUCCAAGAUAUUUUAUGGGCCAGCCUGGAUGUGUCAUACAUCACAUCUGCCGGCGUUCCGUCAGUUGGAAUUAGUUUUAUGGCCUCAGGUACAAAGGGAUGGUUAAGGUCAUCCACCUGGGUGUCCAGGAAGAUAAUUAAAUGGUUGAAAAUAAUUAGAAUUAUUUCUGGCACAAAGACUGGUCCGAAAUGUCACCUGAUAUCUCUGCAGAAUCAGGCAUUUCCCUUCCACUGACACUGUGUCUUGUACAUAAUUUGCACCUGCCACUUUGAUUAAAAAUUAUUUUAUUGUCUGUAGACCCGCCAGGUAAGGAGUGCCUUGAGGUUAAGAACUGUCCCGUAGUGCUCGCUUCGGCAGCGCAUGUACUAAAACAGGAAUGACACAGAGAAGAUGAGCGAGGCCCCAUGCAAGGAUGACAUGCAAAUUCAUGAAGCGUUCCGUGUUAAAAAGAAAGAAAGAAAGAAAGAAAGAAAGAAAGAAAGAAAGAAAGAAAGAAAGAAAGAAAGAAAGAAAGAAAGGAAGGAAGGAAGGAAGGAAAGAAAUGUCCUGUAUACAUCUCCGUAGCACCUGAGCCUGGCACACGAAGGUGUUGAGUGCUUGUCAAGAGAACGAGGUGACCAGAGGGAGGCCAGGCUAGGAGAAAAUGUUGAGAGGCUGUUCCUCCUUGUAGAGCAGGAUGGGGUUUCUCUAGUAGAAAGGGAAAAAUUGGAGGCUAUCAUAAGACAUAUUUUCUAAUAAAAAUGAAUGUAAUGGGAAAAAUUGGAGGCUAUUAUAAGACAUAUUUUCUAAU
This is a long non-coding RNA of Mirounga angustirostris (Northern elephant seal), 9589 nucleotides long. RefSeq lists it as uncharacterized. The record is from RefSeq and is a predicted model, not a curated record. Lineage: Eukaryota; Metazoa; Chordata; Mammalia; Carnivora; Phocidae. The transcript has 5 exons.